Molecule: ribosomal RNA, 424 nt
Filed under: uncultured bacterium
Lineage: Bacteria
Description: bacterial SSU rRNA
Rfam family: Bacterial small subunit ribosomal RNA
Source: RNAcentral
GGAAUAUUGCACAAUGGAGGGAACUCUGAUGCAGCCAUGCCGCGUGUGUGAAGAAGGCCUUCGGGUUGUAAAGCACUUUUACUGCGGAGAAGGGUUGAUGCAAUAAUAAGGCAUUAACCGGAUGUUACGCAGGGAAUAAGAACCGGCAAACUCCGUGCCAGCAGCCGCGGUAAUACGGAGGGUUCGAGCGUUAAUCGGAAUGACUGGGCGUAAAGGGCUGGUAGGUGGCUUUGUGAGUCGGCAGUGAAAUCCCCGUGCUUAACAUGGGAACUGCUGCCGAAACAGCAGAGCUGGAGUAUGGCAGAGGGAAACAGAAUUCCAAGUGUAGCGGUGAAAUGCGUAGAGAUUUGGAAGAAUACCAGAGGCGAAAGCGGUUUUCUGGGCCAAUACUGACACUGAGCAGCGAAAGCGUGGGGAGCAAACA